This 2434-nucleotide non-coding RNA is filed under the name Cryptosporidium parvum. Lineage: Eukaryota; Apicomplexa; Conoidasida; Eucoccidiorida; Cryptosporidiidae. The record is from RNAcentral.
CAUAAAAUUUCACUUUGAAAUAAAAAGAAUAAAGCGUAAACAUAUAAGUUAAUUAAGUUAAAAACAAAAAUCAUAUAUAUGACGAAAAAAGUAUAUAUACUAAUAUAGAAAACUAGUGGACAAGACCAUUGGCAGUUUUAUUACCAGCCAUCUUUUGAUUCUUCUUCUUGUUUUGUUUAUUGGCUCUAUAAGAUUGAAUUGAAGUAUCCAUGGUUCCACCUGUAGUCUUCAUCCUCUUAUAUUCAGCUUGGUCGUCUUCUAACAUCUUCAUGAAGGAAUUAUACUUGGCAUUUUGUUUAUUGGAUUUUUCCGUUCUAUUUUCAUGCCAUGCACUUGCAAUCACUUGUGAAUCUUUUCUAAGUUGUCUACUGGCUUGUCUUCUAGCAGUAUUGACUUCUUUUUUCAAUCUAGACAAAUAAUGUUUCUUUUCAUGUUCAUAUUGGGAUUCUUUGGGACCAUGUUUGGCUCUAAGCAUAGCUUUUGCAGCAAAUGGAACAGAUGGAUCAUCAAUUUUGGGAAUCAAAGAUCUAAUUGUUGGAGUUUGUCUUGGACAAAGACUAAUUGGUUUUUGAGGUCUAUUGGCAAUUUCUGUAGAGAUCGAUUCAAUUUCAGAAACCAAAUUUAACAAUACUUUACAAUUAUCCAUCUUCAUUAAUGAUUCAUUAAUUUGUUUGAUAUUUUCACGGAUAAGAUGAAUAAUAAUAGCAUGGAACCCUUGUAAAUCUUUAAAAGCAGAAAUUACUCUAAUUAAAGAUUUAAGAAUUCCUAUUGAUAAUGAAAUUCUUUUUUCUUCAAUGGAAAUAUUAUUAUCAGGAUCAGACAAUAACAGCCAUUUAAGGCAACUUAAUGAUAAAGUAAAGUAACCAAUACUAAAUCUUUCAAGCAAUUCAUUACCAUUAUUAUUUGAUUUACUAUUUGCAUAACCAAUACUAGAUAUCUCCAAUAGACAGAUUACUCCAAUCAUGCAACUAAUAUUUGGGUUACUACCCCCAACAAGCCUUAUUUGGUUGUAUUUAAACUCUUCACUAUCUUGAUCUGGUGUGUUAGUGUUUAGUAAAGAUUUCCCAACUUGACUCCAUCUGUGAGCCCAUUGUUCCAAGCAUAUAAUAACUGGAGUUAAUAUUGGAUGUUGAGCAUCAGUAACUGGGAAUAAUAUAAACAUCAUUCUACAUAUCACAAUAUGUUCUAAAGUCAGUUCAUAUAUAUCUUCAGAAAGUUGGUAUAAAGAUGGACAUUCUUCUAAUAUUUCAGUAUAAUAGUUUUCAUUUUCUACAUUUAAAAGAUUAUCAUUUAAAAACUUUUCAACUUUUUUAUAUUUGUGAUAAACACUUGGAAAUGUUGUAUGACAAAUUUCAAAUGUAAAGUAAGUGAAAAUGAUAAGGCAUUCUUUUGGAUCAGUUUCUGCCAUAAAUAAUAAAUGACUACUCAUAAGCUUAAGAUAAUUAAUAAUAAAUUGAAAAAUAUUCUUCUUUUCAGAAUCUGAUUCUGCUGUUCUUAGACAAUUUAAUGGAUAUUUAAUAAGAAAACCAAUAAGAAGUUUUAAGUCAUUCAACAUUGCAGUAUCUCCCUUAUUAAAGCAUGAUCUAAAUCUGCAAAUAAAUUUCCAUUGAGAUUUUGGAGAAAAUCCAUUCAUAAAUUCCAUAAGUCCCUUCAAACUAUAUUCCUUCAAGAUUUUCUUCAAAUUAACACUAAAUGGUAAAUUUGGUUCAGAUUCAUCGUUCACCAACCAAUCAAUUUCAUCAAUUUCAUUUAAUUCGAAAUCAAUGAAUCCUUUAGAUGCGGGUUUCACUCUCUCCUCAUCAUCCUCACCGUCCUCUUCUUCCCCCUCCCCAUCUUCUUCUUCCUCUUCAAAGCAGUCCUUUUCUACUUUCCGUCCCUCAUCUUCCUCUUCUUCCUCCUCUUCUUCCUCCUCUUCUUCCUCCUCUUCCUCCUCCUCUUCUUCUUCCUCUUCUUCUUCCUCUUCUUCAUCUUCUUCUUCAUCUUCAAAGCCGUCCUCUUCUUCACCAUCUUCAUCAUCAAAGUCGUCCUUAAAGUACUCAUUUUCCGAUUCAGUACUCAAGUCAAUGUCAAUAUUGGAAUCAUCAAGAUUCAUUCUUUCUUUUCUCUCCUUUUCAAGCCUCUCAAGUUUUUCAGCAUUAAGUUUUGCAAUUUCUUCAUCAGUUUUAAUUCUAUCAGAAACACCAGUUCUUGUAUCAAACUUUAGAAGAUUUCUGAGUUGUUCAUAUUCAUCCAAUUCUUCAAUAUUCUUGUCAGAUGACUGAAUAUUAUUAUCAUUACCAUUAUUAUCAGUAACAGAAGAAUUAGAAUUAAUAUUAUUCAGUAAAGAAUUGACUCUGUCUUUUCUUGACUGUUUAUAACUAAGCAUUGAUUGAACUUGAGAAAAUGCACUAUCUAAAUUAACCAACUCCUCCUCUAGACUUUCUCUAUGUCUCUU